This 219-nucleotide unclassified non-coding RNA is filed under the name Hevea brasiliensis (rubber tree). The record is from RNAcentral. Lineage: Eukaryota; Viridiplantae; Streptophyta; Magnoliopsida; Malpighiales; Euphorbiaceae.
GUCAUGCGAGCUAAGCUAGAGCAUAUCAAAACUAACCAGUCACUCAUUUUGAGCAUCAUUUCUCCACAGCAACCACCAAAAGCACCACCACCUCCACAAGAUGGCAAGGGCAAAGGAGCUCUCAUAAAUGACUGACCAGCUUUUAUUUUCAGUUUACAUUUCAUGUUUUUAUUUUUGUUGCUUAGUUAAUUAGUGUUUUUAACUUGUUUAGUUAAUAUU